UACGAAGGGGGCUAGCGUUGUUCGGAAUUACUGGGCGUAAAGCGUACGUAGGCGGAUUGUUAAGUGAGGGGUGAAAUCCCGAGGCUCAGCCUCGGAACUGCCUUUCAUACUGGCAAUCUUGAGUCCGGGAGAGGUGAGUGGAACUCCUAGUGUAGAGGUGAAAUUCGUAGAUAUUAGGAAGAACACCAGUGGCGAAGGCGGCUCACUGGCCCGGAACUGACGCUGAGGUACGAAAGCGUGGGGAGCAAACAGG
RNAcentral lists this ribosomal RNA (253 nucleotides) under uncultured bacterium. RNAcentral's name for it is "partial 16S ribosomal RNA". It matches the Rfam family "Bacterial small subunit ribosomal RNA", at positions 524 to 776 of the family's 1533-position model. The record is from RNAcentral.